CUCUGUUGUCGCCGCCUCAGUUAAAGUUAAGAUUGGUCUCUUUGGAAGCUUGAGGAUUUAAAGUGAUGAAUUUUUCAUCAAGGAUAAGAGGAUUUUCCAACCUCCAUCUGAGUAACCUUGGAUCAAGUUAAUUGGAGAAUUUUACUGUCAACUAAGGAGUACCUUUGUUUGGCUAAAAUCUCCAGGCGAAGGUAAAGGUAGAGGAAAGCUGGCGAGCGACAGAGAAGGAUCCGUGACAUGCCAUAUGGGGACUCAGUUUUGCUUCCGCGUCUAUGUUUCAAUGUUUUAAUAUUCCAUUUUUAAUGAAAAUUUAUUCUUCCCUCGUUUCAAAAAAAGUGUCUCUUGUCAUCGUUCCGUUUUAGUAACGACCUCAGCUUAGUAUAAAGAGUUGGGUCGUUACAGUUGGUAUCAGAGCGUCAGCUUUUAGGUUCUGUAGACUAACUUACGAUGUGAGUCUCUGAUUUUGUCUCUAUAUAUGGCUAUUACGGUCCUUCGUCACUCGCCAGGUAUGUAUUUUAUGAUACAUGAUUAUGAAUAUGCACGUGACCUUGCCUGUAUUAAACUAGAACUGCAUGAAUGUUAUGAUUUAAUGGUGAUGGCUUUGGUGGUAAAGUUUUAAGAAAAAUGUUGGCACGUAAAGAUGCUCAAAGGGGUGAUUGAGUAGGCAAAAGA
This is a long non-coding RNA of Cucumis melo (muskmelon), 672 nucleotides long. RefSeq lists it as uncharacterized. Lineage: Eukaryota; Viridiplantae; Streptophyta; Magnoliopsida; Cucurbitales; Cucurbitaceae. The record is from RefSeq and is a predicted model, not a curated record. The transcript has 3 exons.